RNAcentral lists this ribosomal RNA (971 nucleotides) under uncultured bacterium. RNAcentral describes it as "bacterial SSU rRNA". It matches the Rfam family "Bacterial small subunit ribosomal RNA", at positions 59 to 1077 of the family's 1533-position model. The record is from RNAcentral.
CAGUCGAGCGCACUCUUCGGAGUGAGCGGCGGACGGGUUAGUAACGCGUGGGAACGUGCCCUUCUCUAAGGAAUAGCCACUGGAAACGGUGAGUAAUACCUUAUACGCCCUUCGGGGGAAAGAUUUAUCGGAGAAGGAUCGGCCCGCGUUAGAUUAGAUAGUUGGUGGGGUAAUGGCCUACCAAGUCUACGAUCUAUAGCUGGUUUUAGAGGAUGAUCAGCAACACUGGGACUGAGACACGGCCCAGACUCCUACGGGAGGCAGCAGUGGGGAAUCUUGGACAAUGGGCGCAAGCCUGAUCCAGCCAUGCCGCGUGAGUGAUGAAGGCCUUAGGGUCGUAAAGCUCUUUCGCCAGAGAUGAUAAUGACAGUAUCUGGUAAAGAAACCCCGGCUAACUCCGUGCCAGCAGCCGCGGUAAUACGGAGGGGGUUAGCGUUGUUCGGAAUUACUGGGCGUAAAGCGCACGUAGGCGGAUCAGAAAGUAUAGGGUGAAAUCCCAGGGCUCAACCCUGGAACUGCCUUGUAAACUCCUGGUCUUGAGUUCGAGAGAGGUGAGUGGAAUUCCGAGUGUAGAGGUGAAAUUCGUAGAUAUUCGGAGGAACACCAGUGGCGAAGGCGGCUCACUGGCUCGAUACUGACGCUGAGGUGCGAAAGUGUGGGGAGCAAACAGGAUUAGAUACCCUGGUGGUCCACACCGUAAACGAUGAAUGCCAGACGUCAGCAAGCAUGCUUGUUGGUGUCACACCUAACGGAUUAAGCAUUCCGCCUGGNGAGUACGGUCGCAAGAUUAAAACUCANNNGAAUUGACGGGGGCCCGCACAANNNNNNNAGCAUGUGGUUUAAUUCGAAGCAACGCGCAGAACCUUACCAACCCUUGACAUCCUUGGACCGCUAGAGAGAUCUAGCUUUCUCGCAAGAGACCAAGUGACAGGUGNNNCAUGGCUGNCGUCAGCUCGUGUCGUGAGAUGUUC